Molecule: ribosomal RNA, 586 nt
Filed under: uncultured cyanobacterium
Lineage: Bacteria; Bacillati; Cyanobacteriota
Description: partial 16S ribosomal RNA
Source: RNAcentral
UCGCCACCGAUGAUCUUCCCAAUAUCUACGCAUUUCACCGCUACACUGGGAAUUCCCCUUGCCCCUAUCGCACUCUAGCCACCCAGUUUCAAUUGCCCUUAUAGAGUUAAGCUCUACGCUUUAACAACUGACUUGGAUAACCACCUACGGACGCUUUACGCCCAAUAAUUCCGGAUAACGCUUGCCUCCUCCGUAUUACCGCGGCUGCUGGCACGGAGUUAGCCGAGGCUGAUUCGAUAGGUACCGUCAUUGUGUUCUUCCCUAUCAAAAGAGGUUUACAACCAGUAGGCCUUCCUCCCUCACGCGGUCUUGCUCCGUCAGGCUUUCGCCCAUUGCGGAAAAUUCCCCACUGCUGCCUCCCGUAGGAGUCUGGGCCGUGUCUCAGUCCCAGUGUGGCUGAUCAUCCUCUCAGACCAGCUACUGAUCGUCGCCUUGGUAGUCCCUUACACUACCAACUAGCUAAUCAGACGCGAGCUCUUCCUCAGGCCAUAUAAGUUUUACCUCUCGGCACAUCGGGUAUUAGCAGUCGUUUCCAACUGUUGUCUCCAUCCUAAGGGUAGAUUCUCACGCGUUACUCACCCGUCCG